CACCGCGGUCAUACGAGUGUUAGCCCAAGUAGACAGUUACCGGCGUAAAGUGUGGUUAGGGACCCAAAAAUACUAAAGCAGAACUGCCUCACGGCUGUCAUACGCACCCGACGGUAAGAACCCCCACCACGAAAGUGGCUUUAACCCAACCCGAAUCCACGAAAGCUGGGAAA
Molecule: ribosomal RNA, 173 nt
Filed under: Hygophum benoiti (Benoit's lanternfish)
Lineage: Eukaryota; Metazoa; Chordata; Actinopteri; Myctophiformes; Myctophidae
Description: partial 12S rRNA
Source: RNAcentral